Molecule: small RNA, 90 nt
Filed under: uncultured Candidatus Pelagibacter sp.
Lineage: Bacteria; Pseudomonadati; Pseudomonadota; Alphaproteobacteria; Candidatus Pelagibacterales; Candidatus Pelagibacteraceae
Description: rpsL sRNA
Rfam family: rpsL sRNA
Source: RNAcentral
UUGGCGGUGUUUUUGGUUGGAAUGUAGUGCUUCUAACAGUGCUAAACGCUGCCACAAAAUAACCUGUCAGUUAUUUUCAUCUAAAAAUAA